AUUGAACGCUGGCGGAAUGCUUUACACAUGCAAGUCGAACGGCAGCACGGGGGCAACCCUGGUGGCGAGUGGCGAACGGGUGAGUAAUACAUCGGAACGUGCCCGGUCGUGGGGGAUAACGUAGCGAAAGUUACGCUAAUACCGCAUACGAUCUGAGGAUGAAAGCGGGGGACCUUCGGGCCUCGCGCGAUCGGAGCGGCCGAUGUCAGAUUAGGUAGUUGGUGGGGUAAAGGCCUACCAAGCCGACGAUCUGUAGCUGGUCUGAGAGGACGACCAGCCACACUGGGACUGAGACACGGCCCAGACUCCUACGGGAGGCAGCAGUGGGGAAUUUUGGACAAUGGGCGCAAGACUGAUCCAGCCAUUCCGCGUGCAGGACGAAGGCCUUCGGGUUGUAAACUGCUUUUGUAUGGAACGAAAAGGCUCUGGCUAAUACCUGGGGCUCAUGACGGUACCGUAAGAAUAAGCACCGGCUAACUACGUG
Molecule: ribosomal RNA, 484 nt
Filed under: uncultured bacterium
Lineage: Bacteria
Description: partial 16S ribosomal RNA
Rfam family: Bacterial small subunit ribosomal RNA
Source: RNAcentral